This 496-nucleotide ribosomal RNA is filed under the name uncultured bacterium. RNAcentral's name for it is "bacterial SSU rRNA". It matches the Rfam family "Bacterial small subunit ribosomal RNA", at positions 29 to 506 of the family's 1533-position model. The record is from RNAcentral.
AACGAACGCUGGCGGCGUGGAUAAGACAUGCAAGUCGCACGGGACAUUUCUGGUAGCAAUAUUAGAAAUGUCCAGUGGCGCAAGGGUGCGUAACACGUGGGCAAUCUGCCGAGAAGCGGGGGAUAGCUCGCCGAAAGGCGAAUUAAUACCGCAUGUGGCCAGGGAAGACAUCUUCCCGACGCCAAAGCCGGGGCAACUUGGCGCUUCUUGAUGAGCCCGCGGCCAUCAGCUAGUUGGUGAGGUAACGGCUCACCAAGGCUAUGACGGGUAGCUGGUCUGAGAGGACGACCAGCCACACUGGAACUGAGACACGGUCCAGACACCUACGGGUGGCAGCAGUCGAGAAUUUUUCNCAAUGGGGAAACCCUGAAGGAGCGACGCCGCGUGGAGGAUGAAGGUCCUCGGAUUGUAAACUCCUGUCAUUAGGGAACAAGGUCCGCGAUUAACUGUCGUCGGAAUUGAUAGUACCUGAAGAGGAAGAGACGGCUAACUCUGU